GUGGGGAAUUUUGGACAAUGGGCGCAAGCCUGAUCCAGCCAUGCCGCGUGCAGGAUGAAGGCCUUCGGGUUGUAAACUGCUUUUGUACGGAACGAAAAAGCUCUCUCUAAUACAGGGGGUGAAUGACGGUACCGUAAGAAUAAGCACCGGCUAACUACGUGCCAGCAGCCGCGGUAAUACGUAGGGUGCAAGCGUUAAUCGGAAUUACUGGGCGUAAAGCGUGCGCAGGCGGUUAUGUAAGACAGAGGUGAAAUCCCCGGGCUCAACCUGGGAACUGCCUUUGUGACUGCAUAGCUGGAGUGCGGCAGAGGGGGAUGGAAUUCCGCGUGUAGCAGUGAAAUGCGUAGAUAUGCGGAGGAACACCGAUGGCGAAGGCAAUCCCCUGGGCCUGCACUGACGCUCAUGCACGAAAGCGUGGGGAGCAAACAGGAUUAGAAACCCCAGUAGUCC
Molecule: ribosomal RNA, 450 nt
Filed under: uncultured bacterium
Lineage: Bacteria
Description: partial 16S ribosomal RNA
Rfam family: Bacterial small subunit ribosomal RNA
Source: RNAcentral